UCGCCUGUUUUAUCAAAAACAUAACCUUUAGCCACAAACAAAUAUUAAAGGCAACGCCUGCCCAGUGAACAAUUAAACGGCCGCGGUACCCUAACCGUGCAAAGGUAGCAUAAUCAUUUGUCUAUUAAUUGUAGACCAGUAUGAAAGGCAAAAUGAGGGCCUGACUGUCUCUUAUAGUAAAUCAAUUAAACUGAUCUCCUAGUAAAAAAGCUAGAAUAUACACAUAAGACCAGAAGACCCUGUGAAGCUUAAACUAAACUAUUACACCAUAUAAUAGCUACUUUCGGUUGGGGCGACCUUGGAACAAAAAAGAACUUCCAAAUAAAUGACCAUAACUCAUACCAAGCUUAGGCCCACAAGCCAUUCAUACGACCCAGUAUAACUGAUCACUGAACCAAGCUACUCCAGGGAUAACAGCGCUAUCUUCUUCAAGAGCCCAUAUCAAAAAGAAGGUUUACGACCUCGAUGUUGGAUCAGGGCAUCCUAAUGGUGCAGCCGCUAUUAAGGGUUCGUUUGUUCAACGAUUAAUAGCCCUACGUGAU
This 542-nucleotide ribosomal RNA is filed under the name Synophis bicolor. RNAcentral describes it as "partial 16S ribosomal RNA". It matches the Rfam family "Bacterial large subunit ribosomal RNA", at positions 1796 to 2604 of the family's 2925-position model. Lineage: Eukaryota; Metazoa; Chordata; Lepidosauria; Squamata; Dipsadidae. The record is from RNAcentral.